GCCAGAGUAGUGUAGUAGUUUGAAUGUUGGACUAUGACUCUGGGAACUAGGGUUCAAAUCCCCACUUAGCCA
Molecule: non-coding RNA, 72 nt
Organism: Phrynosoma platyrhinos (Desert horned lizard)
Lineage: Eukaryota; Metazoa; Chordata; Lepidosauria; Squamata; Phrynosomatidae
Source: the annotation of a GenBank genome assembly